UAAUAUACACUUCAAAUUACAUCCUGAGAAAUUGCACCAUUUGUUGUUGAGGGAUACAUGACACAUAACUUACCUUCUCAAUCAAACAAACGAACACACACCACAAUACUUCAUUUAUUUAAGGUGUGAUUUGUAGAAGGCCGAGGCCCUAAACAAUCAAAGUAAAGUGCGCUUUCAAGUAGUGUCAAAGGAUGUUCAUUCCGUAUCUUCUAUAUAUGUUUCUGAUGUACUUAUUUGAUUAAUAAAAGAGAGUAAUUUUGUCCAAAAAACAAAUAGGAAACAAACAUGAGCCUUAAAUAUUAGAAACCAUAAAUUAUAACAUCAACAGGUUAAUAACUUGCAUGAUGUCACAUAAUUUCGGCCACAAAUUAAACUCAGCAUACACUGUAGAGCUUCACUUUCUUACUGUUACUAGUAUCAGGCUGAAUGAUUGCCAAGAAACUUGGCAUAAUUUGCCCUGUUAGUGGAGUCUAUGGGCCACGGAGCCCCAGCCAUGACUGCUUCAAUUUCCCACGUCUCCCUUGGACAGUUGGAUAGAUUCUUGCAACCAUUGGAUGUUACAUACUGAAAAGAAACAGAAACAAAUUCUCUCAGAGAAGAGCAGCAGCAGCUGCAGUAGCAGCAGUAGCGGUAGC
This 635-nucleotide long non-coding RNA is filed under the name Amborella trichopoda. Its description in RNAcentral is "long non-coding RNA (ATRI_LNC003051)". Lineage: Eukaryota; Viridiplantae; Streptophyta; Magnoliopsida; Amborellales; Amborellaceae. The record is from RNAcentral.